RNAcentral lists this ribosomal RNA (2228 nucleotides) under human metagenome. RNAcentral describes it as "bacterial LSU rRNA". It matches the Rfam family "Bacterial large subunit ribosomal RNA", at positions 810 to 2925 of the family's 2925-position model. The record is from RNAcentral.
UGUGGGUAGGGGUGAAAGGCCAAUCAAACUCCGUGAUAGCUGGUUCUCCCCGAAAUGCAUUUAGGUGCAGCGUCGCAUUGUGUGCUUGUUGGAGGUAGAGCUACUGGUUGGUUGAGCGGGACGAUAAUCUUAGCAACAUCAGCUAAACUCCGAAUGCCAGCAAUGUGGGUGCGGCAGUGAGACUGCGGGGGAUAAGCUCCGUUGGUCGAGAGGGAAACAGCCCAGAUCGUCGGUUAAGGCCCCUAAGGGUGUGCUCAGUGGGAAAGGAUGUGGGAUCGCGAAGACAGCCAGGAGGUUGGCUUAGAAGCAGCCAUCCUUGAAAGAGUGCGUAAUAGCUCACUGGUCGAGUGGUUCUGCGCCGAUAAUGUAGCGGGGCUUAAGUACACCGCCGAAACCGCGGCAACACACUUGGUGUGUUGGGUAGGGGAGCGUCGUGCAUGUGUUGAAGCUAUUUGGUGACAGGUGGUGGAGUGUGUGCGAGUGAGAAUGCAGGCAUGAGUAACGAUUGAUGUGUGAGAAACAUAUCCGCCGGAUGACUAAGGGUUCCUGGGUGAAGUUUGUCUUCCCAGGGUGAGUCGGGGCCUAAGGCGAGGCCGACAGGCGUAGUCGAUGGAGAACGGGUUGAUAUUCCCGUACCCGUGUGCGUGCGACAAGUGAUGAAUCUUAUGGUACUAACCGCCCGCUUGUUUCCGCUGAUCUUUUUGGUUGGUGGUUUCAGGUGCGUGGGAUCUUCGUGGGUAGUAGUCAAGUGAUGGGGUGACGCAGAGUGGUAGCUAGGCUUCCUUAUUGGAUUGGAGUGCAAGCGUGUGGCCUGUGGGGUUGGGAAAUCCGCCCCGCAUUAAGGGUGAGGCGUGAUGCGGACACCAUGUUGUGGUGGUAGUUAGUGUGCCUGUGCUGUCUAGAAAAGCCUCUAGCGAGUGCGUGCAUGGCCCGUACCGGAAACCGACACAGGUGGUCAGGUAGAGAAUACUAAGGCGUUCGGGUGAACUGUGGUUAAGGAACUCGGCAAAAUGCCCCCGUAACUUCGGGAGAAGGGGGACCAUUACUGGUUGCUGACAGCAUGAUGGCUGGUGGUGGUCGCAGAGGAGAGAGGGAAGCGACUGUUUAUUAAAAACACAGGUCCGUGCGAAAACGUGGAAGUUGAGGUAUACGGACUGACGCCUGCCCGGUGCUGGAAGGUUAAGAGGACCCGUGAGUGCAUCUUUUUGGUGUGCGAGGCGGAGAAUUGAAGCCCCAGUAAACGGCGGUGGUAACUAUAACCAUCCUAAGGUAGCGAAAUUCCUUGUCGGGUAAGUUCCGACCUGCACGAAUGGCGUAACGACUUCCCUGCUGUCUCAACCACAGGCCCGGUGAAAUUGCAGUACGAGUAAAGAUGCUCGUUUCGCGCGGCAGGACGAAAAGACCCCGGGACCUUUACUAUAGCUUGGUAUUGGUGUUUGGUCAUGCUUGUGUAGGAUAGGUGGGAGACUGUGAAGCCGUGACGCUAGUUGUGGUGGAGUCGGCCAGUGAAAUACCACUCUGGUGUGAUUGGGUACCUGAACCUUGGCCCGUGAUCCGGGUUGGGGACAGUGCCUGGUGGGUAGUUUAACUGGGGCGGUUGCCUCCUAAAUGGUAACGGAGGCGCCCAAAGGUUUCCUCAGUCUGGUUGGCAAUCAGAUGGUGAGUGUAAGUGUAUAAGGGAGCUUGACUGUGACACUGACGGGUGGAGCAGGUGCGAAAGCAGGGACUAGUGAUCCGGCACCGACGUGUGGUUGUGGUGUCGCUCAACGGAUAAAAGGUACCCCGGGGAUAACAGGCUGAUCUUCCCCAAGAGUUCAUAUCGACGGGAUGGUUUGGCACCUCGAUGUCGGCUCGUCGCAUCCUGGGGCUGGAGUAGGUCCCAAGGGUUGGGCUGUUCGCCCAUUAAAGCGGCACGCGAGCUGGGUUUAGAACGUCGUGAGACAGUUCGGUCUCUAUCCGCCGCGCGCGUUGAAACUUGAAGAAGGCUGUCCCUAGUACGAGAGGACCGGGAUGGACGUACCUCUGGUAUGCCAGUUGUCACGCCAGUGGCAUGGCUGGUUAGCUACGUGCGGGAGGGAUAACCGCUGAAAGCAUCUAAGCGGGAAGCCUGUUUUGAGAUGAGGUUUCUGUUGAGGUUCCCUAUGGAUGAUGGGGUUGAUAGGCCAGGGCUGUGAGCAUGGUGACGUGUUGUAAGGUGACUGGUACUAAUACACCGACACAAAAAAACA